CUCGCUGCGAUCUAUUGAA
Molecule: non-coding RNA, 19 nt
Filed under: Mus musculus (house mouse)
Lineage: Eukaryota; Metazoa; Chordata; Mammalia; Rodentia; Muridae
Source: RNAcentral